CAUGCAGUCGAGCGGAAGGCCCUUCGGGGUACUCGAGCGGCGAACGGGUGAGUAACACGUGAGUAACCUGCCCUAGGCUUUGGGAUAACCCUCGGAAACGGGGGCUAAUACCGAAUAUGACUGCUGGUCGCAUGACUGGUGGUGGAAAGUUUUUCGGCCUGGGAUGGACUCGCGGCCUAUCAGCUUGUUGGUGGGGUAAUGGCCUACCAAGGCGACGACGGGUAGCCGGCCUGAGAGGGCGACCGGCCACACUGGGACUGAGACACGGCCCAGACUCCUACGGGAGGCAGCAGUGGGGAAUAUUGCACAAUGGGCGGAAGCCUGAUGCAGCGACGCCGCGUGAGGGAUGACGGCCUUCGGGUUGUAAACCUCUUUCAGCAGGGACGAAGCGAGAGUGACGGUACCUGCAGAAGAAGCACCGGCCAACUACGUGCCAGCAGCCGCGGUAAGACGUAGGGUGCGAGCGUUGUCCGGAUUUAUUGGGCGUAAAGAGCUCGUAGGCGGCUUGUCGCGUCGACUGUGAAAACCCGCGGCUCAACCGCGGGCUUGCAGCCGAUACGGGCAGGCUAGAGUUCGGUAGGGGAGACUGGAAUUCCUGGUGUAGCGGUGAAAUGCGCAGAUAUCANGAGGAACACCGGUGGCGAANGCGGGUCUCUGGGCCGAUACUGACGCUGAGGAGCGAAAGCGUGGGGAGCGAACAGGAUUAGAU
This 709-nucleotide ribosomal RNA is filed under the name Micromonospora sp. 1.7-01. Its description in RNAcentral is "bacterial SSU rRNA". It matches the Rfam family "Bacterial small subunit ribosomal RNA", at positions 54 to 783 of the family's 1533-position model. Lineage: Bacteria; Bacillati; Actinomycetota; Actinomycetes; Micromonosporales; Micromonosporaceae. The record is from RNAcentral.